GUUUAUCUAGUUAACUUCUGUCGCAAAUUUACUUACGUUUUAACAAAUCUGCAUUAAUCCUAACUAUUAUAUAUUUUUGGGGUAGGGAGAAAUAAUACAAAAUAUGGUUAGAAUGAAUAUUUACUUCACACAACAUAUAUUGAUUAAGCUUACGUUAA
Molecule: long non-coding RNA, 158 nt
Organism: Octopus sinensis (East Asian common octopus)
Lineage: Eukaryota; Metazoa; Mollusca; Cephalopoda; Octopoda; Octopodidae
Exons: 3
Source: RefSeq, a predicted model, not a curated record